Molecule: RNA transcript, 7481 nt
Organism: Nymphaea colorata (pocket water lily)
Lineage: Eukaryota; Viridiplantae; Streptophyta; Magnoliopsida; Nymphaeales; Nymphaeaceae
Exons: 3
Source: RefSeq, a predicted model, not a curated record
GGAAUCACCCUGAGGGGUUGGGGAAAGCUCACAAGGCCUUGCCUGAUCCCGACGAUCGUUCAAGGGAGCGGGAAGGUCUCAAAAGGAUGAAGGAGGCUGGCGUGCAGGGCAUGGCAGGGAAUCAGUGAUAUAGUUCUUGGGCGGUGAUCAUCAAAAGUGCAGUAGGCAAAGAGGCGGAUUGGGAAGAUGCGUUGGAUAUCCCCGAUCUUGGCAUUCAUAAUGUUAAUGGAUAUCGGGCCUUGGUGAUUUCUGAUGAGAUUCAUGAAAGAAUGGUGCUGCCUUUCCGAGGUCUGCGAUUGGGUCCCUAGUUGGGGAAAUCCUAGGGUUCAAGUGCAUAUAUUGGAAAGCUUUGAACAUUUGGAAUCAACUCCCUUUACAAUGUUGCAGAAGGGAUUGUUUCUCAUUCUAGCAUCGUCUAAGGGGGCGUUGGUGGAAAUCUUGUUGCCUAUAAAAUGGAAAGUUCAUGAUAUGUAUUUGGUAAUUAGCAAAUGGGAAUCGGGGAAGCCAAUGAAGAUGAAGGCGGCCUCUAGUGUACCAAUAUGGGAUUGUUUGCCAGAUAUGCAUAUUUUGGCAGGUAUUGAAAAGCUGAUUGGCGGCCACUGGGUGGCUGAAGACAAUUUAACUAAAUAAUUUGCAAGGAAUCGAUUUGCUCGAAUAUGAACCUUUGUUCCUUUGAAUUUUUCUCUUGUCAAUUCUAUGUGCAUAGUAGAUGGUGAUUGUGUUCUUGAGCAAUUGGAGGAAUACGAGGCAAGAAUUAGGUUCUGUAUUAGAUGUGGGAUUUCUUCACAUUGUGAAGGGGCUUGUCCUCAGGUACAGGCAGCUUCCCCCUCUCAUUGCUUCCUUUAAUCCUCGAAAGUACUUGCUCUAGUAGUUCAUCCACUAAUUGACAAGUGGACCCAAGUCAAGGUGGUGAGACGUAAAUCGAAAUCUGGUUGGUCUCAGAUUAAAGGAAGCAAUCAGAGGGGGAAUAUGUUGUCAGUGCUUGGUAAUAAAAAUCAAGAUGCGCCACAAACUGAUCUUGAUAGGGAACAACCAGAUCUCUGGAGAGAAAAGGAGGAAUAAAAGGGGUGUGGAGAUGGGUGGAAUAUCAUCUAUGGCAUAAGACUUUGAGGGAAAAUCAGAUGUGGGUUUGAAUCCUAAUGGUGGGGAAUUGGAGAUGGAGAUUUUCUAUGGUGAGGAGCAGACUGGGUCAGAUAAGAACAUAGAGGAUCGAACACUAAGUUCAAACAUGGUUGUACAUGUUGUGCAAGAUAAGAGUUCCAAAAGUAAGAAUUCUAAAGCCAGCAGGAAGAAACCUCUUGCUAACAAGGAGUUGAGUAUGUUGAAGAAGAAAGGAAAUACUAAGAAUCAUAAUUAUGUUCUGAAAGAAAAUUAAGAGGUGAAUGUUUUGCCUGGGGGACAAAAUAUGAAAUUCAACCUAGCAGCAGGAGAGGAGAAUAUCGUAGGGGUAUCUAACCACUAGGGGACAAACUUGUAAUCUCUAAUCAAGGAUGAAAGUGGUAUUAUGGAACGCCAGGGGAUUGUCCAGUAAGGCUGCACAAACACACUGACUGAAUCUGGUUAGUCAUGAGAAUCUUAAUAUUAUUUUCUUCUUUGAUUUGAUGCUAACUGAAGAGUGUCCGUUAAGCUUUUUUAGGCGAUUUCAAAAUUUUGAUAUGGAAUCUCAUACUGAAGUAGAAGGUAAAUGGGCUAGGAUUAGUUGUGCCUAGAAGAAAAAUGAGUUUAAAUUUCUGAGUUGUCGGUUUAAUUUGUGUUGAAACGAUUGUAUCUGCAUGGAAAAGACAAGAGGGAAGAGGAUUGAUGUCAUUGGGGUCUAUUUGCAUACUGAUUUUAGGGACAGACAUGGCCAGUGAAUUAUGUUGGCGGCUAUGUUGACGGGCAGGCAUAGUCCAAUGCUGAUCUUGAGGGAUUUUAAUUCAGUCAGAAAAUCUUCUAAGAAGUUGGUAGGGCCUCGGCAUUUUUGGCUUGCAAGGCCUUCAAUUCUUUCAUCCAAUUUGUUGGUCUAGAAUAAUUAAUGGAUGGGAAAGAUUCUUUGCUUGGUUGAAUCAUCGUAAGUCCGCAGAGUAGUUAUGAGUAAAAUCAACUGAUGCUUCUACAAUAAAACUUGAGCUGAGAUGUUUGAUGAAUCACUGAAGUUAAGGUGAGAUUUUAGAGCCUCUUUUGAUCAUGCAGCGUUGGUGGAUUUUUCUGUUUCACAGAUUCAACGUGAGUUUGGCAAGAAGGUGUUCAAAUAUUCCUUUCACUGGGACAAACACCUAAGUUGCCAAAAUAUUAUAUCUAGAUUAUGGCAGGUUGAAGACAAGGGCUGCCCUAUGAUGCAGCCAUGUGCGAAGCUGGACAAAAUAAGAAAGGGUCUAUGCCGCUGGAGAAGGAAUGCUUUAGAAAAAGUAGAUCUAAAAGUUGAUCGUUUGUAGAAAGCGCUGGAUGAUAUUCAUUUUUGUGAUGAUAGGGGUUCAAACCACUGGUUUGAGAAGGAAGAAAAAAUCAGAUCUGAGCUGAAUAAGAUCCUGGAAGAAAAAGAGAUCUAUUGGAAGCAGAGGUCCGACGUGUAGUGGUUAAGGACAACUGGACAAGAGAUGGAAAUAAUAGAUUUUUCCUUUCUAUGGUGAAAAGGAUGGUUCAGAAGAGAAGGCUUGCUGAAACUUCAAUUGAUGAGGGCUCAUUUAAUGACCCCAUGCAAAUUCAAAUCAGUUGAAAAAAUCAUUUAAAAAAAAAAAUUCUCUACAGAUGACUCAAAAGGAUCCCUGCUGAAGAUCUAUGGCCUGGCAUGUUAGUUUCUGAUCAGGACAAUGAGUAUCUGCUUAAACCAGUGACAGAAGAGGAGAUCAGACAGGCUGUAAUAGGCUAGAAGGUGGAUAACUUUUUGGGGCAUGAAGGCUUUCCCGAUGGAUUUUUUCAAAAACAAUGGUAAAUAGUAGAAGAUUUGGUGAGCAGAACUAUCAUAGAGGGGCCAGUUUGGAAACUGCUUAUUUGAAUUGGAUAUUUCCACUAAUAGUUUAGGAUAAUUUUUGUAUAGUCUUGAAAUCUAAUAGUGUAGCAUGGUAGUAAUCGCUGCAGAAAUUUGCAACGGGCCAUAAUCUGCCUGCUCACAUCAGGGUUGUCUGUAGAAGUGGUAUCCUUGCUCUCUGAACAAGAGCGGUGGUGAACUGAGUGUCUGUGCUGCUCGUUUGUUAUUUUUUUUAGUCAUUCAUUCUUUCAACUUUAAUGGAAUAGGGUGAUCCUACAACCCGUUUUUCCUUAAAAAAAAUAAAUCUUUGGCUAUAAAUGUGGCCAGCUGAUUUAAGUUAUAUACACACACACAGAUGCAUGCACACACAUUCUCUCUAUAGACUUAAAACGAUAUUUUUUAGGAUUCACUAGAAAAAUGAAAAGAGAAAGAGAAAAGUAGGUGAGCGGAAAAAAGAUUGAUAAAAACUCAACCCAAAAGUGGGGAUGUUUAUGUUUUCUGAUCGCAAUAAUCCACCAUAGAAAUUAUUAAAAAAAGAAGAAAGUUAAACCGUAGGGAACAAGAGUAACACAUUAAUACAAGACAUACGUGAUUUGACAAUAUGCUUACACCCAUGGGCAAAGGAGGAGCACGAUUCUACUAUUAAUCAAGUCAAAUAGAGGCUACAACAAGGCAAUACAGUAAAAUCCCUCAAGACCCAAAUGGGCAAUGCCCUGGAGGGAAUAGCAAGAAAGAGGGAACUGAAGAGAAUGAGAUAAUACAUUUCUCUCUCUCAAAAGGGAAAAAUAUAAGCUAAUACCUCAAGAAAUAGCCUCUAAAUCAAAGAUGGAGCCUUUGUCGUAAAUGGCGAGCCAAAAUGCUUCUUUCUGCUUUUCUUUCUCACUUUUUUCCCAAGAAAUAAACCCCCAGACCCUAAUUUGUAAAAGGAAGAGUGCCUUUAUGGUUCCCUUUCUUUUCAUAACUCACAUCAUUAGACUUAUUUCAUUAAAGACUCAAAUGUGGAAAAUAUUUCUCUUAUGUGGGUUCAAGGUACACCUAACAAAUCUCUUCGAAUAAAAUCGUACCUGACAUCAAUAUGUUUUGUCAUCUCAUGAUACAUCUAAUCUUUGGUCAAGUGAAUGACACUUUGACUAUCGUAAUAAAUAAUCAAUUUUUCUUGACUAAUACAAAGUUUAAGAUAACAUGCCCCUCAACCAAAUACAUUUUUUAAUUGCCUCAAUGAUUGCUAUAUAUUUGGCCUUUGUGUAGAUAAUACAAUAGUAGACUAUAAAGUAGUUUCCCAACUGAUGGCACAACUUUCAAGAGAGAAAAUCAAGCCAAUAAAUGAUCUCCUCCUAUCAAGGCUACUUGCAUAAUCUGAAAUCAACAUAUCCAACCAAGCUAUCACUGUUCAUACCAAAGUCUCUAAUGUAUCAUCCUCCUCUAUCUGUUGCAGGUCGAGGGUUCCUUCUCCUUCCCCUUUUUCAAACCCCGAUUCGUAUUUUUCAUAUAGAAAUUUCUGAUCAACGAUAGAACAAGAUCCAUUUUGCAUCAUAUCUAACUGAUUCCUUGGUUCGGACCGAAGAAGCAAUGUCACUCGAUCAUUAUCAAACUGACUGCAUUCUGUCCUGAAAUGACCUGACCCAAUAGGGAAAUCCCAAUUUAUUGGGCCUUUCGAUAAAAUCAAAUAGAUUGCCAUGAGGGCGCCAUAGUCUAGGAGCCCAAAGAAUCUACUCCACUGCUUGCCUAUGGCCUUUUCAGGAGAUGAUCUAUCUACUAACAACAUUAAUUGCAUGCGAAAUGUCAAGUCUAGUACAAACCAUCACAUAAUAAUGCUGAGUCAGGCAGGCCAUAACAACACUAGUUGUAUCCUUCUUCAAGCUGUAGCUGUAAGAUCUUCUUUUCCAGGCUCCGAGUCUACUUUUGCUUUUUCUGUUUUUCUUUGGUAGUUAAAUAUACUGGAAGAAGGACUUGUAUAAACCAAGUGAUUUGACAGUCCUUUUGGCAAAGGUUGAAGAAUCUGAGGUAUAACCUUCUACAUAGUUGACUAUUUGCCUUUUCUUUAACUUAUACAUGAGAUAUUUACUCCUUUUCCCAAAUUCAAUUGGUCAAUGCGUUUGCAGUCGUUUUUUGCUUUAUCUUAUUCUGUUUUAUUUUCUCUAUUAUAGGUUCUUCCAUCUUUUGCAGGUGAAAUACAAAGGAGUGAAUGCCUCAGAUCUCUGAGGGAUAUUUCCCUUGCACUUGCUGAGAUGCCUGCACGUGGUGAUCUAACAGGAAGUAGGAGAUUCUUGAACUCUUGAAAUCAAUCUGGCAAAUUCUAGGAAUCACAAGGACUAUCCAUGGUAUAUGCUAUGCUUGGGUCUUAUUUCAGCAGGUGGUGAUGGUUUGCUUGAGAGCUUGACAGUACGUGCACAGCUGGUCAUUAAACUACAUGGCCUUGAUGUUAGUUUCUUUUGUCACAACAUAGUAGUGCAGAGUUGCCGUCCAUUGAUUGACACUUCGAAGUUUACACCAUUAUCACAGAUAUCUUGUUUGUUCCAAAGAAAAGGUGAUGUUGAUGGUAAAAAAAUAUGGAAAAAAGCAUGAUUUUUUCACCAAAACAAAUUUAACGUGUUUUUUCCCAUGUUUUUUGUUUUUCUUUUUUUUGACGUUAAUAUCAUGGAUUACACUUUAAACUUAAACUAAAUUAUUUAUCAUGAUUAAAACAUUUUUUUUAUCAUAAUAUUCUAGUUGUUUUUUUAUGUCUUGUAGAAGCUUUUUUCUUUUUAAAAAAAUUAUUUACUCGAUAUUUCCCAAAAAGAACAACACUGCCACAGAGAAAAACCUCUGCUGUUAUUACCCCAAGAACAAUACUCGUGACAAUGGUUUACACCUUUUGAUGUGAUAAGGUGAGUCAGCCGCAAAGAGUGGUAUGUGCUAAGGUUUGGAAACAAGCUGGAAAGCCCAAGCUAUAGGUGUUGUAGCUUGGCUGAUUGUGUUAGCUGUUUAAAGCUUGUUUUUUAUUAUCUUGAGGUGAAAAUGAGUUCCCACCGAAGGUGGGAUACAAAGUACAUUUGAAAACUUACGGCUAGAACUGUAGGUCUAUUUGAUGGAAUUAUUAUUCUUAAUUUGUAUUACUCAAUAAACUUGUUAAUAAAGAUGCAUUCCCAGUGGGCAACAUUGCAAUCCCUCAGAACGCAGCAUCCCGCCCAUCAAUAUAUCUCCAAAACAUAGACAUAAAGCAUACUUUCGUUUCUUUUGUUGGUUUUAGACUUAUUGAAAAUAUCUGAAAGUGAGGUUGAUUUUUGGAUUACCCAUCUCAACUACGAAUGGGCUAUCACGCGUCACUUUACAUCCUCCAUCCAGCGGUGAAUCCAAUUGCCGUAUUGGGCACUAUAGCGGUGACAGUUGUUUGGAACCUCCAGCGGUGUUUGACGUCGCCGGCAUAGACCUAUGGCGGUGACAGCUGUUAGGUACCUCUAGCAGUGGUUUCCAUCGCUGGCAUAGAUCAACAGCGGUGACAGCUGUUGGAGACCUCCAGCGGUGCUAGGGAUCGCUGGCAUAGAUCUAUAGCGGUGAGAGCUGUUGGGGACCUCCAGCGGUGCUAGCAAUCGCUGGCAUAUAUCUAUGGCGGUGACAGCAGUUGGGCACCUGGCUGUGGUAAUCAUCGCUGGCAUAGACCUAUGGCGGUGAUAGCUGGUAUCUCUAGCAGUGGUUAUUCGUAGGCAUAGAUCUAUAGCGGUGAGACUUGUUGGGGAUCUCCAGCGGUGUUUGCGAUCGCUGCCAUAGAGCGAUAGUGGUGACAGCAGUUCGGUACCUAUAGCGGUGGUUGCCAUGGCCGGCAUAGAGCUAUAGCGGUGACAGCAACCUCCAGCGGUGUUUGACAUCGCCGGCAUAGACCUAUGGCGGUGACAGCUGUUGGGUACCUCUAGCAGUGGUUUCAAUCGCCGGCAUAGAGAGAGCUGUUGCGGAUCUCCAGCGUUGCUUGCGAUUGCUGGCAUAGAGCUAUGGCGGUGACAGCAGUUGAGUACCUGUAGCGGUUGUUACGAUCGCCGGUAUAGAGCUAUAGCGGUGACAACUGUUUGGAACCUCCCAUGGCGGUGACAGUUGUUGGUACCUCUAACAAUGGUUUGAAUCGCCGGCAUAGGUGACCUCCAGCGGUGCUCACGAUCGCUGGCAUAGAGGUAUGGUGGUGGCGCUGUUGGUACUUGUAGCGGUGGUCAUCAUCGCCGGCAUAGAACUAUGGCGGUGACAGCUGUUGGGUACCUGUAGCCGUGGUUUCCAUCGCCCGCAUAGAACUGUAGCGGUGACAGCUGUUUGGAACCUCCAGCGGUGGUUGUAAUCGCUGGCAUAGAGCUAUGGCGGUGACAGCUGUUGGGUACCUCUAGCAGUGGUUUCAAUCGCGGGGAUAGAUCGGCGGUGAGAGCUGUUGGGGACAUCCAGCGGUGCUUCCGAUCGCUGGCAGAAUGCAUUGGGCACUUGGUGGACAUUGAGGACAACUCUGGGUGCAUUUACCUUUUGGCCAUUGAUGGAGAUUGGUAGCAACACCUACGCAGCAACAUUAAACAUGGCACAA